RNAcentral lists this non-coding RNA (30 nucleotides) under Homo sapiens (human). The record is from RNAcentral. Lineage: Eukaryota; Metazoa; Chordata; Mammalia; Primates; Hominidae.
UAGGGUUUCCAAGGAUCUGUACUUUCCCCC